RNAcentral lists this long non-coding RNA (257 nucleotides) under Phoenix dactylifera (date palm). RNAcentral's name for it is "long non-coding RNA (PDAC_LNC014516)". Lineage: Eukaryota; Viridiplantae; Streptophyta; Magnoliopsida; Arecales; Arecaceae. The record is from RNAcentral.
CUUGAAUGUUUGGGUGCAAUUGUGCUCGAUCAGAUCAUGGCAGGAUUGGGCCCGUGCAGUUUGGGGCCAUGAUGCAUCCCUCUAAACUCUACCAAAUGCGUAUUUAAACUUUAAUUUUUACUAACCUAUGCCAAACAAAAAAUAUAAUAUUAACUCGGUGAAUUUAUCAUUAUCAGUUAGCAAUAACACUAAUUUAGAAGAUAUGUAGAUCGCACUUUUGUACUCUCAUCGGAACACAAUACAAACACAAGCAUAUA